GGAGCGCUCCUGAUAAGAAUGAGAGAGUUUUGGAGNUAAUUAAGCGUAUUAAUGCCUGCGGAUGGAGCGCAAGGAACGCCUUUCUCGCAUUCUAUAUUUAUGCCUGUAUUCUACGCUUGUUUGUUAUAUACUAUUAGUGGGGCGGCACGCCAGCCUGCCGAGUGAAACCAUUACAACCUAUUUAUUUUCAAUCACGACUGAAAAAAUAGUAUUACAACUUUCAACAACGGAUCUCUUGGUUCUGGCAUCGAUGAACAACGCAGCGAAAUGCGAUAAGUAGUGUGAAUUGCACAAUUCACUGAAUCAUCGAAUCUUUGAACGCACAUUGCGCCCCUUGGUAUUCCAUGGGGCAUGCCUGUUCGAGCGUCAUUUGUACCUUCAAGCUUUGCUUGCUGUUGGGUGUUUGUCCCGAGGAACUCGUCUUAAAGUAAUUGCCCGCCCGUGUUUGGUUUUGAAGCGCAGCACAAGUCGCGAUUCAAGGCUACACGCCGGCUUCCACCAGACUUUUUUACUUUUCACCUCGGAUCAGGUAGGGAUACCCGCUGAACUUAACCAUAUCAAUAAGCGGAGGAAACAUCAGAUCAGGUAGAAGUAACCAAUUGAACUUGAACUUAUCAUAAUCCAUAAGGAAGAUCUAUCCUCCUUUAUUCUAUUCCUUUAGAACAUCGAACUAUUCUCCUUCCUAUUUACCUCUUCAAAUAUAUCAUACAUACAUUCUAUAAACAUGAUCCCAAUUCUACCUAAACUAAAUCACUUUCCAAUCUUAUUUAAUUUCACACUUUAUUCACUCCCCUUUAUAUUAUUUCCUUAACGUAUCCUUCAUUAAGUAAUGAACUUA
Molecule: ribosomal RNA, 838 nt
Filed under: fungal sp. 209
Lineage: Eukaryota; Fungi
Description: eukaryotic LSU rRNA
Rfam family: 5.8S ribosomal RNA (bases 216-369)
Source: RNAcentral